GCAUCCAUGGCUGAAUGGUUAAAGCGCCCAACUCAUAAUUGGAGAAGUCGUAGGUUCAAUUCCUACUGGAUGCA
Molecule: transfer RNA, 74 nt
Filed under: Lathyrus oleraceus (garden pea)
Lineage: Eukaryota; Viridiplantae; Streptophyta; Magnoliopsida; Fabales; Fabaceae
Also listed under: 8 other names
Description: Pisum sativum (pea) tRNA
Rfam family: tRNA
About the family: Transfer RNA (tRNA) molecules are approximately 80 nucleotides in length. Their secondary structure includes four short double-helical elements and three loops (D, anti-codon, and T loops).
Source: Rfam by way of RNAcentral